AACGAACGCUGGCGGCGUGCCUAACACAUGCAAGUCGAACGGAGUGAAAGAGCUUGCUUUUUCAUUUAGUGGCGCACGGGUGAGUAACGCGUAGAUAAUCUGCCUUGGACUCAGGGAUAACAUCUCGAAAGGGGUGCUAAUACCUGAUAAGCCCACGGGGACUUAAGUUCUUGCGGGAAAAGGGGGCCUCUGAACAUGCUCUUGAUCCAAGAUGAGUCUGCGUACCAUUAGCUAGUUGGUAGGGUAAGAGCCUACCAAGGCUACGAUGGUUAGCUGGUCUGAGAGGAUGAUCAGCCACACUGGAACUGAGACACGGUCCAGACUCCUACGGGUGGCAG
RNAcentral lists this ribosomal RNA (338 nucleotides) under uncultured Pseudomonadota bacterium. RNAcentral's name for it is "bacterial SSU rRNA". It matches the Rfam family "Bacterial small subunit ribosomal RNA", at positions 29 to 351 of the family's 1533-position model. The record is from RNAcentral. Lineage: Bacteria; Pseudomonadati; Pseudomonadota.